AAGUCGUAACAAGGUUUCCGUAGGUGAACCUGCGGAAGGAUCAUUAACACGUAUCCAAACGUAAAAAACCCCCCCCGUGAACAUUCAAUCCUGCUCUUGUAACCCGCGUAGUUCGCAAUCUCUGGUAAAUCAUAGCCCGGAAAGUAGUUUUGAUUCAGAGACCUCUGGCUACGUGAGAACAUUGGAACAGUUACAAUCGAGCGGUAGUUUCAUAGGCAUUGUUUCCCCAAGCAGUCAGUGUCUGAAAGUGUCACUGAUUGUGCAGGGAUAGCGCUUCAACGAUUCCUGUAGACCGAACACUCGGGCAGGAGCUAUGCCAAAAGGGUCCCCAUGCCCCCUUAUAACCCCACAGUUUAAUGUGAAGCUCAAUGUAAUACAUUGGGUAAAAAACCGAACAAUGGAUAUCUUGGUUCUC
RNAcentral lists this unclassified non-coding RNA (415 nucleotides) under fungal sp. RNAcentral's name for it is "partial internal transcribed spacer region". The stretch from base 1 to 46 matches the Rfam family "Eukaryotic small subunit ribosomal RNA", at positions 1786 to 1831 of the family's 1831-position model. Lineage: Eukaryota; Fungi. The record is from RNAcentral.